RNAcentral lists this ribosomal RNA (250 nucleotides) under uncultured bacterium. RNAcentral describes it as "partial 16S ribosomal RNA". It matches the Rfam family "Bacterial small subunit ribosomal RNA", at positions 524 to 775 of the family's 1533-position model. The record is from RNAcentral.
UACGAAGGGGGCUAGCGUUGCUCGGAAUUACUGGGCGUAAAGCGCACGUAGGCGCUUUCUAAGUCGGGGGUGAAAUCCUGGAGCUCAACUCCAGAACUGCCUUCGAUACUGGAGCGUCGAGUCCGGGAGAGGUGAGUGGAACUGCGAGUGUAGAGGUGAAAUUCGUAGAUAUUCGCAAGAACACCAGUGGCGAAGGCGGCUCACUGGCCCGGUACUGACGCUGAGGUGCGAAAGCGUGGGGAGCAACAGG